This 4998-nucleotide small RNA is filed under the name Pan troglodytes (chimpanzee). Its description in RNAcentral is "retained intron". Lineage: Eukaryota; Metazoa; Chordata; Mammalia; Primates; Hominidae. The record is from RNAcentral.
GCUCUAAGGAAAACCACAGCACGUGUUCUUUUUCACUAGUAGAAGUGACGUUGGUUUCAUAUUGACAACUUUGAAGCCAUUUGGAAGUGUUUCAGUGGAGAGCAAAAUGAAUAACAAAGCGGGCUCCUUUUUCUGGAACCUUAGACAAUUCAGUACAUUAGUUUCAACAAGCAGAACUAUGAGGCUAUGUUGUUUGGGACUUUGCAAACCAAAAAUAGUUCAUUCAAACUGGAACAUUUUAAAUAACUUUCAUAACAGAAUGCAAUCAACUGAUAUCAUUAGAUAUCUCUUUCAGGAUGCAUUCAUUUUUAAAUCAGAUGUUGGCUUUCAAACAAAGGGCAUAAGCACUCUAACAGCCCUUAGAAUUGAAAGACUACUUUAUGCUAAAAGACUGUUUUUUGACUCAAAGCAGUCUCUUGUCCCUGUUGAUAAAUCUGAUGAUGAAUUGAAGAAAGUAAACCUUAAUCAUGAAGUCUCCAAUGAAGAUGUUCUUACCAAGGAAACAAAACCAAACCGUAUCAGCAGUAGAAAACUGUCUGAGGAAUGUAAUUCCCUGAGUGAUGUGUUAGAUGCAUUUUCAAAAGCGCCAACAUUUCCUAGUAGCAACUAUUUCACAGCAAUGUGGACAAUUGCCAAAAGACUGUCUGAUGACCAGAAGCGCUUUGAAAAACGACUGAUGUUUAGCCACCCUGCAUUUAAUCAGCUCUGUGAACAUAUGAUGAGAGAAGCCAAGAUCAUGCAGUAUAAGUACCUACUGUUCAGUCUUCACGCCAUAGUGAAGCUUGGAAUCCCUCAGAACACUAUUUUGGUGCAGACUUUGCUGAGGGUGACCCAGGAACGUAUCAAUGAGUGUGAUGAGAUAUGCCUUUCAGUUUUGUCAACUGUUUUAGAGGCAAUGGAACCAUGCAAGAAUGUUCAUGUUCUACGAACGGGAUUCAGAAUACUAGUUGAUCAGCAAGUUUGGAAAAUAGAAGAUGUCUUCACAUUACAAGUUGUGAUGAAGUAUAUUGGAAAAGAUGCACCGAUUGCUCUUAAGAGGAAACUGGAGAUGAAAGCCUUGAGGGAAUUAGACAGAUUUUCUGUUUUGAAUAGCCAGCACAUGUUUGAAGUACUAGCUGCCAUGAAUCACCGAUCUCUUAUACUCCUGGAUGAAUGCAGUAAGGUGGUCCUAGAUAAUAUCCAUGGGUGUCCUUUAAGAAUAAUGAUCAACAUAUUGCAGUCCUGCAAAGACCUCCAAUACCAUAAUUUGGAUCUCUUCAAGGGACUUGCAGAUUAUGUGGCUGCAACUUUCGACAUCUGGAAGUUCAGAAAAGUUCUUUUUAUCCUCAUUUUAUUUGAAAACCUUGGCUUUCGACCUGUUGGUUUAAUGGACCUGUUUAUGAAGAGAAUAGUAGAGGAUCCUGAAUCCCUAAACAUGAAAAACAUUCUAUCUAUUCUUCAUACUUACUCUUCUCUCAAUCAUGUCUACAAAUGCCAGAACAAAGAACAGUUCGUGGAAGUUAUGGCUAGUGCUCUGACUGGUUAUCUUCACACUAUUUCUUCUGAAAACUUAUUGGAUGCAGUAUAUUCAUUUUGCUUGAUGAAUUACUUUCCCCUGGCUCCUUUUAAUCAGCUUCUGCAAAAAGACAUCAUCAGUGAGCUGCUGACAUCAGAUGACAUGAAGAAUGCUUACAAGCUGCAUACUUUGGAUACUUGUCUAAAACUUGAUGAUACUGUCUUUCUGAAGGACAUAGCCUUGUCACUCCCACAGCUGCCGCGGGAGCUGCCAUCGUCACAUACAAAUGCAAAGGUGGCAGAGGUGCUGAGCAGGCUUCUGGGAGGUGAAGGACACUUCUCAAAGGAUGUGCAUUUGCCACACAAUUAUCAUAUUGAUUUUGAAAUCAGAAUGGACACUAACAGGAAUCAAGUGCUACCACUUUCUGAUGUGGAUACAACUUCUGCUACAGAUAUUCAAAGGUUGCUUACAUAUAUUUCACUUGCUGGGCUUUCUGAAUUAAAAUCCUAAUUGUAAAAGACUUCAUAUUAAAUAGCAGUAGUAAAUCUAAGACUUGAUGUUUGUAUGGAGCCUGCAGCACACCAAGAGACUUGUCAUCCAUCAAUGUACUCCUUAGAAAGUGUAAAUGUGGACAUUAUGGUUGAAUACAAUGGACUACAGUAUUGGUCAUUUAAUGAGACAGACAUUUUUUUAAAAUGAGGUUUUGAAGCUAUAGUUCAAUAAAACAAUAUUAAUAUAAUUGAAACUAUCAAUGCAGUGUAGACUUUGGACAAGAUAAUAUAAUAGUGAUCAUAAAGAAUAAAGACUCGAGGCUUCUACAAAAAUCAAAUACCCAAUAAAUAUUUUGCUCUACCACCAAGACUUUUCCAGAGGUAGAGAAACUGUAGUUUUUUUAAUUAAACUGUAUUUGUAUGGGUUAGAGCACAUUGAAGCUAAUCCUAAGUUGUUUCCUUGGCUCACACAUUACAAAUAGAGUGUCUCUGGGGAGAAAUAUGAUGCUGUACCAUGAGAGAACAUCCUGCCUCUUCAGUAGAUGCAUAAGAUCAUGCCAUCAUUGCACACACCCAUGGGUCAGUUACCCUUUAUGUAAAAGCUCUGCUACAUGGAUCCUGACCCCAAGGAACUUGUAUCUUCUGUUAACUCCACUGGACACACACACACAUAAAUAUGAUAGAAACAUACAAAAAAAUCUGUAGGGAUCCAAGCUCUUAUCUGCCCAUCCCUCUUCAUUCACACACAGUUCUGUGACUUUCACCUCUUUCUGAAUGCAUCUAGCUUAUUUCUUGGCCAUCUUUUCAACCGCUGUCUUUCCUAUUAGUGCUACCCAUCUCCCCUCAGAAGAGGCUUUCUCUCUGACCUCAUUCCAAGAUCAGUUUUCUUUUUCGGGUACUCCGCUAUUCUGGCAUAAUAAAAUAACAGUUGUUCUCAGCAUAAAGUCAUGAGAAGUGAAGAAUGUGAGCAUUCCUUUAAAAACAUAAAAUUUGUCUUAUAACAGCCAGAGUAUAGGUGAAGGCAGUAAGGAUAUAAAUGUCUUUUUUUCUUCUUUUUUUCUCCCAGUAAACUUAGUAUUUCCAAAGUGCCAGGAACAAUGAAAAAACAAAUUACACCUUCCACAUUUUCGUUAUAUUUACAGAUUUUAUUUUAACAGUCUUGCCUUUCUCUUGGUGUUUUCUUUCUUGUAUUUAAACUCCUAUUUCUGUUUUUUAAAUGCUGCUUUCUCUGGGAGAUAAUAUGUGUAAGAAGAGCAUUUACUAUUUGGUAUUAUUUACACCGUUACUACUACUGGUAGAAUAAAUAAUUAUACUCAGAUCAGAAAUCAGCACUACACAGAAAACCCUUAAAAUUGGUGCUUUCAUGUCUGAAAAUUUUCCUCUUCAAAAAUGUAGCCAUCCUUAAAGGGAACUGAGAGGUAACUGUGUAUAAUGUUGUAUAUUUUUGAUUUAUAAAGUAGCCUUGUAUAGUGGAAUAUCUGCAGAGGCCAAGUAAAAGAAGUGAAGGACUAAGACAGGAAUAUCAAGGAUUGUGGUCGGUGGAGAGCUCAACUUGGAAAUCUCCAGAGAGCAAGAAUGCAGCAAGACUAAAUGGUAAUAUCAAUAACUGUUCUUGUUUUGUUUAUUUUUGUUUUCAGAGUAGCUGUGCUAUGUGUUUCCAGAUCUGCUUAUUGUUUGGGUUCAAGCCACCCCAGAGGAUUCCUUGCUAUGAAAAUGCGGCAUUUGAAUGCAAUGGGUUUUCAUGUGAUCUUGGUGAGAAAAAAAUGCAAAUGAAAUAUUCUUUAAUUACUGAUGUACAUUCUAACAGCUGCCAGGAAUCUUGUGGUUGAGACUGGUUACUAGGACUAGAGGAAUUGUCAGCAUUAUUGGAAUGAGUGCUUUAGUUACUGUUUUCUUUGAAAAAGAACAUUGCUAGUACACGAUUUGGGUUCUGCUCAGCUGAUUACUGUCAUUACUAGAGCUUUUACAAAUGUUGUUCUGGUCAGCUUUAAUCCUUUUUUGCUAAGAAGAAGAAUGCAAAUAAUAUAUUUUCAUAUUUAAGAUACACAAAACCAUAUUUAAUUUCCAGGUUAUCUUGAACAAGGGAAGGAAAGAUGUUAAAGCUUUGUUUUCAUGGCCUGUGUGAAGCUGUUACAGGAUGUUUGUUGCCAGAAAAGGCUGGAUGGUUUUAAGAGGAUGGGUCUUUCUCUUCCCUCUUAUGCUUCAAUUUUAUUUUGUACCCCACAGCUUCUCUUGAACAGCCUCUUCUGAUGUUUCUAGGUAGCUGGAACCUUACAAAUACAUUUAUAUAUAUGUUGCUGUUGGAAUCUAUCUAAAUGCCACUCAUUUGGUCCUGCGCAUAAUGUAAGAUGUAAACAUUCCAAGUCUUCUAUUAUUAUACUUUAGUAUUGGAAAUGGAUUACGUGUGGACUAUUGAGAUUAAGAUGACUCCUUUCUCUUAGUGGGCUACUAUUUAAGACUUUGUUUUUUAUAUUGCUGAUUAUAUAUAUUCUAAGGAAGAUUUUCUCAAGAAAGCAGUUUUUGCACCAUUUAGAGGACCUUUAAAAUUUGUAUAAUUUUCACAGUUAAAGCUUUCUUAAACCCUAGCAUGUAGUCUUAUUAUGCCUUUAAAAUAUGAGUAGUUAUAAGGUCACAUUUGCUUUCAAAAAGCUAUUGUCAUCAUGUUACUUUACUAUGUUUGGAUCUCUAAACUAGCUCUUUUGUUAGUAUCGUCUCACAAACUGAUUAUUUUCCUCUUUCUUUGGUAAGGUCAAUAACUGGGAGAUGGACAAACUAGAGAUGGAAGAUGCAGUCACAUUUUUGAAGACUAAAAUCUAUUCAGUAGAAGCUCUUCCUGUUGCUGCUGUAAAUGUGCAAAGCACACAAUAAAGUGAAAAUCAACCUUUUCAUAUUAGGAGACAUGCAUUUGUAAAAAUUAAUAAAGAUGACAAGUCAGUUGUCAAUGGAAUUGAGCUAUCUGCUAAGACAAAAAAUGUUACCUCAGUUCACUAUUAAAAUUAAUUUUAGGAGUGG